UUUUUUUUUUAGUUGUAGUUGGACACAACACCUUUUUUAAAUAUAUUUAUUUUUAUGUGGUGCUGAGGAUCGACCCGGUGCUCACACGUGCUGAGUGAGAGCUCUACUGCUGAGCCACAAUCUCAGCCCCCCAUUGUUGGUUUUUACUUAAAACAUUAACAUUAAUCCAGAAGUCACAAUCACACAAUAAUGCACACAUGAGGUGGGCCUUGGUAGUUUCUGGAAUGACCUUCCUUCCUCCCUCUCUUCCUUUCCCCAAAUAAGACCUUGUUUUAGAUGGUGUUUUCCCGAGCAACAGGUCCAACAGGAAGAACAGGUACCAAUGAAUGACAGGUUUGCUGUGAGGCUUGGCUCUUGCAGUUAGGAACUUCAGUCUGCGUCUAUAGCUGCAGUUGUGGAGCUGGGGAAGGUCGUGCCUGUCCAGCAUCCCAGCUCAGGGUUAGCGAUGACAUGGCAGAACUGUGAUCCCUGGCUCAGGUGGCCUUUGUCAGGUUGUCACAGCCAAGUUUGCAGUAUACAUGGAAGGAGGCUGCUAAGCAUGGUCCAUGCCCAGGGGCGGAAGCUCUUCAACUGCCUGUCAUCCUGGGCCAGUGUCAGGCAGUGGGUUCCUUAGAAACAACACAGAUGACACAAUACCAAAAAAGAUACAGUAGAUGUCACCAGAAUUAGAAACUUGGUGCUUGAGAGGUACAAUCAAGAGGGUGAAAAGACCAGGGCUGGCGUCACUGGGUGGAGAGCCUACCAGGCAUAGCACACUCAAGGCCCUGGGCUUGAUCCCCAGCUGUGGAUAAAGAAAAUGAAGACAGCCUGCAGGAUGGAAGAAAUUGUGAAUCAUAAUCUGAAAUAUGUAAAAAUUCUUAAAAACCUCCUAAACUCAGUGAAAAGACAAAUCAGUUAAAAAUAGGCUAAAGAUGUAAAUAAAUAUUUCUUCAAAGAAGAUACGCAGGUGACCAGUGAGCAUAUGAAAAGAUGCUCAACAUUGUCACUCAUCAGGGAAAUAAAUGCCCAUCAAAACCAGGGUGAAGGCGGGCAUGGUGCAAGCCUGUCCUCCCAGUCACUUGAAAGGCCGAGGCAGGAAGAUGCAUGUCCCAGGCCAAGAUAAGCAACCUAUUGAGGCCCUAUCUCAAAAAUAAACUUUUAAAAAGGGCUGGAGGUGUUGCUCAGUGGUAAAUCCCCUCUGGGUUCCAUCCCCAAUACAAAAAAAAAA
RNAcentral lists this long non-coding RNA (1207 nucleotides) under Marmota monax (woodchuck). The record is from RNAcentral. Lineage: Eukaryota; Metazoa; Chordata; Mammalia; Rodentia; Sciuridae.